UUAGGUUUUUCAUGAAAUAUAUUUUCAUUGUAUGUCUAUUUGAUAUUAUAAAUCUUUGUUAUUUUUUCUAUAAUUUUGGUCAAACUUAAAAUAUUUUGCCUCUCAAGAUCUUGGAAUGACUUAUAAUCUGGGACGAAAGAAGUACUUUUUUUUGGCUCAAAAGUAAUCUGGUGAGCAGCUUGCGAGCGAAGGUGUUGAUCGAGUCAUCAAAAAGAAAAAGUUUAGUGCAGUCGGUGUCAAUACUAGUCGUUAUUCAUUCAGACAACCUAAAAUAACAUCAGAGUUAUUAACUUAUGUCCACGUCUAGCGUGGAGAUCUGUCAGUGCUGAGGUGAGGUACCAUGACCCAGGCCAAGGAAAGCAACGGAACAACCGUACCAGGUGUGAUCAUGCUCGUUGAACAAGUUCAGGAGUGCGACCAAAGGAUGCAGAGCACAGCGAUAACGUGCCUGGAUCAGAGCGAUAUGAUCCAACUUGAGUACUUGACUUGACUGCCCCAGUCGUCUCGUCUGUCCUAUAUCAAAACAAGCCACAGCAGAAGAAACCACCACCAUAUUUAGAACAGCUACUUCGUUAUGAUCAAAGGGGUGAAUCAUCAAACUACAGAAACAAUAUCAGAUAUUACAGUUCAAUGUUCGCGUUCACUUCGAUGGGCGGCCAAAUAGAUCAUGAGAUAAAUAGACAAGGUGGUGUACCUUAUGUCCUUCGUUUGAAGCUUGGAUUGAGCCCUGUCCAAUGGUUCUUCACCAUCUUCCUAAUAGCCAUAUGCUUCAACGCCAAACCAUGCACAUGUUCCAGCAGCUCCGACCAGGAUCAGAGGGCAAGGUACACCUGGAACAC
This 839-nucleotide long non-coding RNA is filed under the name Sorghum bicolor (sorghum). RNAcentral describes it as "long non-coding RNA (SBIC_LNC003882)". Lineage: Eukaryota; Viridiplantae; Streptophyta; Magnoliopsida; Poales; Poaceae. The record is from RNAcentral.